This is a non-coding RNA of Mycena capillaripes, 96 nucleotides long. The record is from the annotation of a GenBank genome assembly. Lineage: Eukaryota; Fungi; Basidiomycota; Agaricomycetes; Agaricales; Mycenaceae.
AGCAGUAUGGUGUAAUCAUGCACACGGGCUUCCUAUGUGAUGGGCCGAAACAAAAUAUGAGUUCCCGAGGUCCUUGUUCGAGUCAAGGUGCUGCUC